This 337-nucleotide ribosomal RNA is filed under the name Streptococcus macedonicus. RNAcentral's name for it is "bacterial SSU rRNA". The record is from RNAcentral. Lineage: Bacteria; Bacillati; Bacillota; Bacilli; Lactobacillales; Streptococcaceae.
GAAGAGUUGCGAACGGGUGAGUAACGCGUAGGUAACCUGCCUAUUAGUGGGGGAUAACUAUUGGAAACGAWAGCUAAUACCGCAUAAUAGUGUUUAACACAUGUUAGAGACUUAAAAGAUGCAAUUGCAUCACUAGUAGAUGGACCUGCGUUGUAUUAGCUAGUUGGUGGGGUAACGGCCUACCAAGGCGACGAUACAUAGCCGACCUGAGAGGGUGAUCGGCCWCMCUGGGACUGAKACACGGCCCAGACUCCUACGGGAGGCAGCAGUAGGGAAUCUUCGGCAAUGGGGGCAACCCUGACCGAGCMACGCCGCGUGAGUGAAGAASGUUUUCGGA